Molecule: ribosomal RNA, 406 nt
Filed under: uncultured bacterium
Lineage: Bacteria
Description: partial 16S ribosomal RNA
Rfam family: Bacterial small subunit ribosomal RNA
Source: RNAcentral
AUUGAACGCUGGCGGCAGGCCUAACACAUGCAAGUCGAACGAGUGGCGGACGGGUGCGUAAUGUCUGGGAAACUGCCCGAUGGAGGGGGGUAACUACUGGAAACGGUAGCUAAUACCGCAUACCAUCGGAUGUGCCCAGAUGGGAUUAGCUAGUAGGUGGGGUAACGGCUCACCUAGGAGACGAUCCCUCGCUGGUCUGAGAGGAUGACCGGCCAAACUGGAACUGAGACACGGUCCAGACUCCUACGGGAGGCAGCAGUGGGGAAUAGUGCACAAUGGGGGCAAGCCUGAUGCAGCCAUGCCGGGUGUAGGAAGAAGGCCUUCGGUUUGUAAAGUACUUUCAGCGAGGAGGCGUUACUCGCAGAAGAAGCACCGGCUAACUCCGUGCCAGCAGCCGCGGUAAUAC